Molecule: long non-coding RNA, 1262 nt
Organism: Cyprinus carpio (common carp)
Lineage: Eukaryota; Metazoa; Chordata; Actinopteri; Cypriniformes; Cyprinidae
Source: Ensembl
AUGUCAGCAUCCGUGAUCCGAAGAGGACUUGAAUUAUUCAGCGAGAAAGAUGGAGUGAAGCGUAAGCAGAAGAAGAGCAGCUCUCGUAAGUCCGCGCUGAUGGAGCAGAUCAGCACCGAUAAACAGGGCGUUCAGAGGCGGAUCCGGCGGCUGCAGCGACCCGGAGGAUCAGCGCGGAGCACAAACACGGUCAAAGACAAGCACAUCCGGUCAGCGCUGGGUGAGUCGGACCUCCUCAGACCUGCUCAAAACUACUUAAAACAUAUUCAAACCUCCUUAAACAUGCUCAAAACUACUUAAAACAUAUGUAAACCUACUUAAAACCUUCUCAGAACUUUUCAAACCUGCUCAGGCUUCCUCAAAACAAACCAGACCUGCUCAAGCCAACAUAAAAACCUGCUCAAACCUCAUAAAAACUGCUUCAGCCUACUUCAACCCCGCUCAAAACUGUUCAGACCCACUUAGAACCUACUCAGACGUUCUCAAGACUCCUUAGACCUGCUUAGACCUCUUCAAAACUGCUCAAACCUACUUAGAACCUGCUCAAACUUCUUUAAAACUCCUCAGACCUGCUCAAAACUCCCCACAUUUCCACAAACCUGCUUAAACCUACUUAAAAUCUGCUCAAAACUCCCCAAAGCUCCUCAAACCUACUUAAAACCUGCUCUUAAUUCCCCAAAGCUCCUCAAACCAGCUUAAACCUACAUAAAACCUGCUCAAACCUCCCCAAACCUCCUCAAACCUGCUUAAACCUACUUAAAACCUGCUCAAAAUGCCCCAAACCUGCUUAAACCUAUUUAAAAACCUGCUCAAAAUGCCCCAAACCUCCUCAAACCUGCUUAGACCUACUUAAAACCUGCUCAAAACGCCCCAAACCUCAGCAAACCUGCUUAAACCUACUUAAAACCUGCUCAAAACGCCCCAAACCUCCGCAAACCUGCUCAAACUUGCUUAAACCUACUUAAAACCUGCUCAAAAUGCCUCAAACCUGCUUAAACCUACUUAAAACCUGCUCAAAACGCCCCAAACCUCCGCAAACCUGCUUAAACCUCCCCAAAGCUGCUUAAACCUACAUAAAACCUGCUCAAAAUGCCCCAAACCUGCUUAAACCUACUUAAAACCAGCUCAAAAUGCCCCAAACCUCCACAAACCUGCUAAAACAUCCCCAAACCUGCUUAAACCUACUUAAAAACCUGCUCAAAACGCCCCAUACCUCCGCAAACCUGCUUAAACCUCCCCAAACCUGCUUCAAAACACCCCAA